Molecule: long non-coding RNA, 336 nt
Organism: Hevea brasiliensis (rubber tree)
Lineage: Eukaryota; Viridiplantae; Streptophyta; Magnoliopsida; Malpighiales; Euphorbiaceae
Exons: 3
Source: RefSeq, a predicted model, not a curated record
GCUCCGGUGAGCUAUGGAGAUGGUUCAACUUCCAGAGGCUUUCUCAUAAAUUUUUGGAAUUUUUGAGACACAGAUAAACUUCGGGUGAUCGAGGUCAGCUGUUUUUCUGCAUCCAGCAGCCACAAUAGUCAUCGGUGUACUGCUACAGGAGGAGACAUUUUUCAGAAUAACCUGUCCCUUUCCUCUCAGGUUAUGAAAAGAUUACUUAAUUGUAUUAUUAUUCUCUAAAUUUGUAAAUUUAGGACUCCGCAUGUGCUAGUAGUAGUAUUAAGCCUGUCAGGGACUGUAUGAAUUCAAGUUUUCAUAUUAAUAAAUGAAAAGAAAAAAAUUUUAUGA